UAAUAAUAAUUCUUAAAAAAGCAAAACUCAAGAUCCUGCAUACUCAGAUGUUAAAGCUUGGCUCUGGAAUGCUAACGCCCUGCGGGCAGCUGUGCCUGGGUGGCUGCACACUGAACUCUGGCAUUCUGCUUCUCUGAACAAGAACUUGGGUACAGACCUGCUUGGCCUCACGUCCCCCGGGUAUCCCCAGGGCAGAUUCUCUGCAGUGGGGUUGCUAAAUCAAGUAGGAAUAACAAGUCCAAGUGCUCUGACAUUGCCUCCCACUGUUUUCCUACCAACAGCCCCCGGCGACAGCCUGUCCUCCCUCACUGUGCACGUGUACACCGUAUACCUACUUUGUGCCCAGAACAGAGAGGGUGCAGAGCCAGCCUGCCACUCACACAGGUGCUAAGCCAGGGCUCACUUUGUAUCAGUGCUCACUGGAAAUCCUGCAAACAUGAUGGGGGGGGGGGGGGAGAGGGCUGGUUUCACUUUGCAUUUGCUUAAUUGCUAAUGAGAUGCAACCUUUAUUCAGGAUUAUCAUUCUUCUCACUGUUUUCCUUUACUUCCUUCCCAGUGUGGGAGAGUAUUGCAAUUCAUUCCUAUGAUAAAGCUACUCCCUUUUUUGUAGUUAAAGGCAAAAAACAAAGCCAAUGUUUAUGGAUGGCACUGUGACAGGAAGACUAAGUACUUCCAUCCAGCAUGGGAGAGGUGACUUAAUUACCAGUAAGCAGAGAAUGCCCAGAUUAGCCUACAGACAGGUGAAGCUGACAUUGCCAGGGGCCAGGAAGAACCACACAGGGCUAUGUGCCUGGGGACUACUUCUUCAAAUGCCUGCUCUGCUCCAGCCUCUAGCUCUUUCCAAGGAACACUAGCAAAAAGUAAGACUCAAAGCCACCUCAUCAUUCCUUGGCUCCUUCCCAGGCUGCUCUGAAGAUGAUCAGUAAAAACUCCUCUUUUUUCCAGGUAAAGGCUACACACGGUCCCAGGAAGCCAGGCCCUGUGGGGGCCAGUCACCCACUAUUGCUUUGUGCCCUCUACACAUCACAAUGACAGCAGCUACCUUGGCAUGCAAGCUGGCUCCACUCAAUGGCCCUGUAAGAGGCAACCUGGAGAUGCUUUUGCUGGGCCCUGUGAAUUAACUAAACGUUCCCUAGCUUUGAAUCUGUGGUCUUUGACCUGAGCUAAUUUCUGCUGCAGUCCUUUUGCAAUCAGCUGGGGUUCCAGGAAAAAGAAGGUUCAGAGGCAGGCAUCUUGUGAGGAAGGCAAAGGCAAACUACUCAAACAGGCUUAUCAGCUUCAAGGAAACAGCUAAAAUCUCAGGAGAUAACUUGUUCAAGUUCAGUUCCAGUAAAAACAAAACAAACAAAAAACAGUCCUUGAAACUCCUCCAAGGACAAAGACUGAGAUAAGUGUCAGCCAGGCCUCACCUGUGACCUAGGACUAUUUAAACUCUGGAAACUUUUCUCACCCUCUGUCCCCUUUCUCCUGAUGGACCCCAAAACCAAUGUCUGCCAAAGACAGCCAAAGUGUCUUCCCAUGGCUUCCCAUUACAUUAAUGAAUCUCCUUUCUCUGCCCUUCAUCAUGUCUAGUUGGCAUAUGGGAGCGAGUGGCUGGAGAUAGUACAGGACUCCUGGACUGGGGUCCUGGUGUCUAAUCAUCUGGCUUCAACAUCAGAGGAAGGAAGAAGAAAUACUAUCCAGGGUCACAGAAGCCACUGAGGAACCAAGUCUGAUGCACACCACACGGCUUUAGAACAUGGCACGGCCUCAAAGGCCCAGAGGGAAAAAGAGAAGCAGCUGUGAAAAAGGUAGGCAUCUAACCUGACUGGGCUAUAUUACCCAGGUGUUCAAUGGAACAUUAUUCUAGAUAGUUCAUUUUCAAUAUUUUUUAGAUAAACAUUUAAAUCUACAGAGAAACAGAACCCAUGGGUGGAGAGGAACAGACAUAAACAGAGUCUUAUAGUGAAGAAUUGGUUCAUGUGACUCUGGAGCCUGAGAAGUAUCAAGAUCUACAGUAUGCAAGCUGGAGACACAGAAAACCUGAUGGAAUAAUUCAGUCAGAGAACUAAAGGGUGUAAAUCCCAAGGUCCCAGUUCAACUUGGCAGGUGGAAGGGAGACAGCCCCUCCCUUGCUUGUGUUUUGAUCUAGUGAUGCCCUGCUAGGACUGGAUGGUGCCCACCACUGGGGGAGAACACCCCUCCCCGAGUCCACCAAGGCAAACACUCUUGUCUGUCCCAGAUUCCAGACAUAAUGCCUUCAUCCGGGCACCCCAUAACCCAAUCAAGUUGACCAUCAAGAAACCACCAUGCCAGCCAGCUGACAAAAUAACUACAUAGAAACCCAGGAAAUAUCUGCAAUAUAUAUUCUAGGGUAGAGCAUAUCCAAACUUAAAUCUCAGCUUGGUUAACUAUUACAACAAACCUCAACUCUACCUUAGGAGCCCUAUCAUUUUUGAGUAAAAGCAGAGUGAACCCCCUAGCCUCACAGGGUGGCCGUGCUCUUACAGUACGGAACAUGAAGCUUCGGUCAUCACAGAUAGCCAGUAUCUGUGUGAAGGAGAAUGAGCAAAGACAACAAAAGUAGGCCAUCCCAUGAAAAAGAGGAAAGGAAAUAUUAAAACACACACAUCAAAAGCUUCCAUGGCUAGAGAUAUACUAGCAACAUCACAUCUGCAAAUUCAUUUUACACUUAAACUGGCUGGAGAAGUCAUCCGUGAUGGCAUAGCACUGUGAACUCCAGCACCUAAGUGAAGAGGGGAUGGCUUAUAUAAUAAGACUAGAAAUACUUUAUGUCUAUUGAUGCUGAUUUUUUUAAUGUGGAGAAAAAGGAGGGAAGAAAAGAGUAAGACAGAAUGACUUCAAAGCAGUAAACAGCAGCAACUGAACCUUGUGUCACGUGAUUGCCAGCCCCU
This is a long non-coding RNA of Perognathus longimembris pacificus (Pacific pocket mouse), 2894 nucleotides long. RefSeq lists it as uncharacterized. The record is from RefSeq and is a predicted model, not a curated record. The transcript has 3 exons. NCBI's taxonomy places the organism in Eukaryota, Metazoa, Chordata, Mammalia, Rodentia, Heteromyidae.